Non-coding RNA from Cinara cedri, 319 nucleotides. Lineage: Eukaryota; Metazoa; Arthropoda; Insecta; Hemiptera; Aphididae. The record is from the annotation of a GenBank genome assembly.
CAUCGAUACGCAGGCGAAUUGAAUGGUGAGUACUCAUAUGUUUCACAAUAUUUAUUAUACCAUAAAUUCUUUAAUAUGAUAAUAUGGUCGAUCAAAUUAAGCUUAUAAUAUACCUGUAGGUAUGCACUUUGAUGAUGUUUUACUAUGUUUCACUUCGAUACAAUAUGAUAUAUAACCUUGAUAACUGAGUUAACCUACAGUUUACAAAUUUAGUUCAAAAAUCUUAUAAACACUGGUGUUUUAUAGGAAAUAUCCACGUGAAAUGUUUCAAAUGUAACCGACCAUUUACUUUAAUAAAUAUUCCUCACUAACUUUGGGC